RNAcentral lists this transfer RNA (70 nucleotides) under Erica desmantha. RNAcentral's name for it is "tRNA-Phe". It matches the Rfam family "tRNA". Rfam says of the family: Transfer RNA (tRNA) molecules are approximately 80 nucleotides in length. Their secondary structure includes four short double-helical elements and three loops (D, anti-codon, and T loops). Further hydrogen bonds mediate the characteristic L-shaped molecular structure. tRNAs have two regions of fundamental functional importance: the anti-codon, which is responsible for specific mRNA codon recognition, and the 3' end, to which the tRNAs corresponding amino acid is attached (by aminoacyl-tRNA synthetases). tRNAs cope with the degeneracy of the genetic code in two manners: having more than one tRNA (with a specific anti-codon) for a particular amino acid; and 'wobble' base-pairing, i.e. permitting non-standard base-pairing at the 3rd anti-codon position. The record is from RNAcentral. Lineage: Eukaryota; Viridiplantae; Streptophyta; Magnoliopsida; Ericales; Ericaceae.
UCAGGAUAGCUCAGUCCGGUAGAGCAGAGGACUGAAAAUUCUCGUGUCGCCAGUUCAAGUUUGGUUCCUG